Molecule: long non-coding RNA, 334 nt
Organism: Loxodonta africana (African savanna elephant)
Lineage: Eukaryota; Metazoa; Chordata; Mammalia; Proboscidea; Elephantidae
Exons: 3
Source: RefSeq, a predicted model, not a curated record
UUUGUGUGGGCCAGCUUGUCUGUGCUGUGGUUGCAGAGACUGAGGUACAGGUGAAGCAAGCAAUUAAAAAAGUAAAGAUCACCUAUGAAGAUCUGGAACCUGUAAUCUUCUCUAUUGAGGAUGCCAUAAAACAUAAUUCAUUCCUAUGCCCUGAAAAAAAACUUGAACAAGGAAACAUUGAGGAGGCAUUUGAAAAAGUUGAUCAAAUUGUUGAAGGGGAGGUCCAUGUUGGAGGACAGGAACAUUUUUAUAUGGAAACACAAAGAGUGCUUGUUAUUCCAAAGACAGAGGACAAAGAACUGGACAUUUACGUGUCAAUACAGGAUCCAGCCCA